AUUUUAAUUUCAAGAUAAAAUAAAUACAAUAAUGAGAUCACAGUCCAUUUCGAUUACUGACAAUCAAACGCAGCAUUAGUUCUUGAUUUUAUAUAAUUACAUUUUUUCGUAUGGAUCCAUAUGCCUGUACAGACUGUACAGUAUCCGCCCAAAUUUGGGCUUGCCUUGUCUCGCACCUUUGAAUAAAGACGGGCCCAAUUUUUCAAAAGAAUGGCUUGUUGGAUGUAUGUGUUGUAUUAUGAUGGAUCCUCAAUUCAUGAUCUCAAAAUCCAAUCAUUUUACAGUUUUAUUUAGUGUUGAGGUACGCGUAAAAAAAUUUA
This 320-nucleotide long non-coding RNA is filed under the name Citrus x clementina. Its description in RNAcentral is "Citrus clementina (C. clementina) long non-coding RNA (CCLE_LNC005667)". The record is from RNAcentral. Lineage: Eukaryota; Viridiplantae; Streptophyta; Magnoliopsida; Sapindales; Rutaceae.